AACCGCCUGAACUGAAACAUCUAAGUAGGGCGAGGAAGAGAAAUCAACCGAGAUUUCGUAAGUAGUGGCGAGCGAAAGCGAAAGAGGCCAAACCGUAAUCAGCAAUGAAUACGGGGUUGCGGACUGCAAUUAGCAUUGUCAAAGCCUAGUUGAACAGGAUGGGAAGCCUGACCAAAGAAUGUGAGAGUCAUGUAAAUGAAAGGCAGAGACAGCGAGCAGGAUCCAGAGUACCGCGGGACACGUGAAACCCCGUGGGAAGCUGGGGGGACCACCCUCCAAGCCUAAAUAUUCCCCAAUGACCGAUAGCGAAGAGUACUGUGAAGGAAAGGUGAAAAGAACCCCGGGAGGGGAGUGAAAAAGAACCUGAAACCCUGUGCUUACAAGCACUGAGAGCACGUCAAAGUGUGAUCAGGUACCUUUUGUAGAAUGGUCCGGCGAGUUAUCAUAUGUAGCAAGGUUAAGGACUUAAGGUCUGAAGCCGAAGCGAGAGCGAGUCUUAACAGGGCGAGAAGUUACAUGUGAUAGACCCGAAACCGAGUGACCUAGCCAUGUCCAGGCUGAAGUGGAGGUAAAACUCCAUGGAGGGCCGAACCGACCCCCGUUGAAAAGGUGGCGGAUGAGGUGUGGCUAGCGGAGAAAUUCCAAUCGAACUCGGAUAUAGCUGGUUCUCCCCGAAAUAGCUUUAGGGCUAGCGUUGUAUUAGAUUACCGGAGGUAAAGCACUGAAUGGGCUAGGGGCCGAGAGGUUACUGAACCCUAUCAAACUAAGAAUGCCGGAUAAUGAUAGUCGGGAGUCAGACAGUGUGAGAUAAGUUUCAUUGUCGAAAGGGAAACAGCCCAGACCCACAGCUAAGGUCCCAAAGUAUCGUUAAGUGGAAAAGGAUGUGGAACUGCCCAGACAACCAGGAUGUUGGCUCAGAAGCAGCCAUACAUUCAAAGAGUGCGUAAUAGCUCACUGGUCGAGUGGUUCUGCGCCGAAAAUUUAACGGGGCUAAACGAUACACCGAAGCUUGGGAUGCAGCAUUGGCUGCAUGGUAGGAGAGCGUUCUGUACGGGGUGAAGUCAUAGCGGAAGCGGUGGUGGACUGUACAGAAGAGAGAAUGCCGGAAUGAGUAGCGAGAUUUAUGUGAGAAUCAUAAAGGCCGAAAGACUAAGGAUUUAGAAGGAAGGUUCGUCCGCUUCUAGUUAGCCGGGAGCUAAGGCGAGGCCGAAAGGCGUAGUCGAUGCACAUACGGUGGAGAUUCCGUAGCCGCCUCUUAAUUUAAGCAAAGGGACACUUUCAAAGGGAAUGACCCGGGCGUUGGUAGCCCCGGGCGAAAGGGACCGAAAUUAGAGUAGGGAAGCAUUUCUGGAGGAAGGCGAGAAAAGCUUUGCGGAUAGAGAGAGGCGCCCGUACCGCAAACCGACACAGGUAGUCAGGAAGAGGAUUCUAAGGCCAACGGGAGAAGGGUAGUUAAGGAACUCGGCAAAUUGACCCCGUAACUUCGGAAUAAGGGGUGCUCCUGAAAAGGAGCCGCAGUGAAUAGGCCCAGGCGACUGUUUAUCAAAAACACAGCUCUCUGCUAAAUCGAAAGAUGAAGUAUAGGGGGUGACACCUGCCCGGUGCUGGAAGGUUAAGAGGAAGGGUGCAAGCUCUGAAUUGAAGCCCCAGUAAACGGCGGCCGUAACUAUAACGGUCCUAAGGUAGCGAAAUUCCUUGUCGGGU
This 1704-nucleotide ribosomal RNA is filed under the name human gut metagenome. RNAcentral describes it as "bacterial LSU rRNA". It matches the Rfam family "Bacterial large subunit ribosomal RNA", at positions 181 to 1977 of the family's 2925-position model. The record is from RNAcentral.